This 676-nucleotide long non-coding RNA is filed under the name Cricetulus griseus (Chinese hamster). RNAcentral's name for it is "lncRNA (ENSCGRG00000024566.1)". Lineage: Eukaryota; Metazoa; Chordata; Mammalia; Rodentia; Cricetidae. The record is from RNAcentral.
AAAGCACAGAACUUUGAAGACUCCCAGUGGUAAAUGGAAGGCCAAAAAUGAGCAAACCUGAGAGCUGCGGUAACUCCUUGAUGGUAGCACUAAAAUGUCAGCCAUAGGAAAAUCUGUGGUCAAGAUUGUACACCUCCAUGGAAAUGGGCCUCAGUUGGACCUUGUGCAUCCUUUACAUCAUGUUCCCCCAAAAAGGGUGGUGGUGGCUGUCACACACAGAAACUCCUGAUUCUUGAUCCAGAAGACUUCUGUUGCCAAAGGGAAAUUACAUCCAAGGUACCAACAUUAAGCUACCAUAUAUUAAACAAUUUAUUUUCAGAAGUUUGAACAGAAGUCAAGAAUCAGCAAACAUUUGGAAAAGACCAAUAACAUCAGAAAAGAAGCAGAUAAAUAAAAAAUAACGACUACCAAGGGAAGACAAAAAGUAAAUAAAAGUAAAUUGGUUUGCUCAACAAAUAUGUAGGAGAAUGGAGUUCAUUAUAGAAUUUGAAUAUUGAAACAAAAGCAAUUCAUAGAAAACUUGGGAAACCUAACACACAUGACCCAUGAUCACCAAUUAGUCCACAAAAUGAAGAGCUAGCAAAUAAUAAAAGGGAAACAUAUUUUCAAGGUAAAUGCUGAAAGAUCAGAGAAGUAAAGGAGUAGCCACAGUCACUUCUUACCUUUCCAAAUCCUC